GAACGGUAACAGGAAACAGCUUGCUGUUUCGCUGACGAGUGGCGGACGGGUGAGUAAUGUCUGGGAAACUGCCUGAUGGAGGGGGAUAACUACUGGAAACGGUAGCUAAUACCGCAUAACGUCGCAAGACCAAAGAGGGGGACCUUCGGGCCUCUUGCCAUCGGAUGUGCCCAGAUGGGAUUAGCUUGUUGGUGGGGUAACGGCUCACCAAGGCGACGAUCCCUAGCUGGUCUGAGAGGAUGACCAGCCACACUGGAACUGAGACACGGUCCAGACUCCUACGGGAGGCAGCAGUGGGGAAUAUUGCACAAUGGGCGCAAGCCUGAUGCAGCCAUGCCGCGUGUAUGAAGAAGGCCUUCGGGUUGUAAAGUACUUUCAGCGGGGAGGAAGGGAGUAAAGUUAAUACCUUUGCUCAUUGACGUUACCCGCAGAAGAAGCACCGGCUAACUCCGUGCCAGCAGCCGCGGUAAUACGGAGGGUGCAAGCGUUAAUCGGAAUUACUGGGCGUAAAGCGCACGCAGGCGGUUUGUUAAGUCAGAUGUGAAAUCCCCGGGCUCAACCUGGGAACUGCAUCUGAUACUGGCAAGCUUGAGUCUCGUAGAGGGGGGUAGAAUUCCAGGUGUAGCGGUGAAAUGCGUAGAGAUCUGGAGGAAUACCGGUGGCGAAGGCGGCCCCCUGGACGAAGACUGACGCUCAGGUGCGAAAGCGUGGGGAGCAAACAGGAUUAGAUACCCUGGUAGUCCACGCCGUAAACGAUGUCGACUUGGAGGUUGUGCCCUUGAGGCGUGGCUUCCGGAGCUAACGCGUUAAGUCGACCGCCUGGGGAGUACGGCCGCAAGGUUAAAACUCAAAUGAAUUGACGGGGGCCCGCACAAGCGGUGGAGCAUGUGGUUUAAUUCGAUGCAACGCGAAGAACCUUACCUGGUCUUGACAUCCACGGAAGUUUUCAGAGAUGAGAAUGUGCCUUCGGGAACCGUGAGACAGGUGCUGCAUGGCUGUCGUCAGCUCGUGUUGUGAAAUGUUGGGUUAAGUCCCGCAACGAGCGCAACCCUUAUCCUUUGUUGCCAGCGGUCCGGCCGGGAACUCAAAGGAGACUGCCAGUGAUAAACUGGAGGAAGGUGGGGAUGACGUCAAGUCAUCAUGGCCCUUACGACCAGGGCUACACACGUGCUACAAUGGCGCAUACAAAGAGAAGCGACCUCGCGAGAGCAAGCGGACCUCAUAAAGUGCGUCGUAGUCCGGAUUGGAGUCUGCAACUCGACUCCAUGAAGUCGGAAUCGCUAGUAAUCGUGGAUCAGAAUGCCACGGUGAAUACGUUCCCGGGCCUUGUACACACCGCCCGUCACACCAUGGGAGUGGGUUGCAAAAGAAGUAGGUAGCUUAACCUUCGGGAGGGCGCUUACCACUUUGUGAUUCAUGACUGGGGUGAAGUCGUAACAAGGUAACCGUAGGGGAACCUGCGGUUGGAUCAC
Molecule: ribosomal RNA, 1472 nt
Filed under: Escherichia coli
Lineage: Bacteria; Pseudomonadati; Pseudomonadota; Gammaproteobacteria; Enterobacterales; Enterobacteriaceae
Description: bacterial SSU rRNA
Rfam family: Bacterial small subunit ribosomal RNA
Source: RNAcentral